UCCAGCCCGAGGCGGUUCAGCGGUUCGCCUGCCGGGCCGCUCUUCCCCGGCCUAAAUGCCUCCUUCGGUAUCUCUUUAUGCCCAUUACAUAAGUCCAUCAUUCCAAAUUUCUGUUGUGACAAGAACUGAGGAAGAGAAAUAAAUCAACCUGAUGUUUGGUGCCAUGAAACAGAUUGCUGACUGCCUCCAGAUAAGGCCUAAAAUGUGGUCAGUUGACCUAAUUACUGCUGGAAGUGGAAGCAGCUUUUAUGCAGUGGUAAGUUCAUUUCCCUUCAAGGAAAAAGGCUUUAUUUAAGAGGAGCUCAUUAACAAUUUCAUUUCACCAAGUUUGUAGCUCAUACGGUCUUUGAGCACAUACACAAGGAGACCUCCAUGUAAAGACACGGAAACACACAAAGAUAGAAGAUGACCAUAUGAGAAUGGGUGAUGAGUGGAGUUAGGCUGUUUGCAAGUCAAGGAACAACUAGAGCUACUAGAAGUUAGAAGAGGCCAGGGAGAGUCUUGUCUCCUAGACACUUGGCGAUGGAGCGUAGUCUGCCGACAUCUUGAUUUCAGACUUCUAGCCCCUAGAACUGUGAGAAUAAAUUUCUGUUGUUUUACGCAUCUAGCUUGUGGUAUUUUGUAACAGCCAUUCUAGGAACUUAAUGAAUAUAUAACUAUAUUUUUUUUGUUAAAUAUCAAAAAUUUAGCAACAAAUCAAAGAAAAUAUAAUGUUGUUAUUGUAUGAGCUAAGCUGUUCUGUUAAUGCAUGGAUGGUAUUUGUAUACAAAUGAGAAUUACAACUUUAAUAAUUAAAAAAUUAACAUUUUUCAAGUUACAUAUUAUUACAACAUAUUUCUCUUGCCUUUAUUUUGACCAAAGUCACCUAUUAGCAAUAGUUACUGCCAUGUCCUUUAAAAAUGAUUAAAAAAUCUUUAAA
This is a long non-coding RNA of Odocoileus virginianus texanus, 919 nucleotides long. RefSeq lists it as uncharacterized. The record is from RefSeq and is a predicted model, not a curated record. Lineage: Eukaryota; Metazoa; Chordata; Mammalia; Artiodactyla; Cervidae.